RNAcentral lists this transfer RNA (70 nucleotides) under Coloceras sp. SLC-2011. RNAcentral describes it as "tRNA-Asn". Lineage: Eukaryota; Metazoa; Arthropoda; Insecta; Psocodea; Philopteridae. The record is from RNAcentral.
UUUACUAAAACCAAAGUUUGGAGGUGUUUUGUUGUUACCAAAAUAAUUGAUUAAAAUAAAUCUAGUAAAG